RNAcentral lists this ribosomal RNA (460 nucleotides) under uncultured bacterium. Its description in RNAcentral is "partial 16S ribosomal RNA". It matches the Rfam family "Bacterial small subunit ribosomal RNA", at positions 338 to 795 of the family's 1533-position model. The record is from RNAcentral.
CCUACGGGAGGCAGCAGUGAGGAAUAUUGGUCAAUGGGCGCGAGCCUGAACCAGCCAAGUAGCGUGAAGGAUGACUGCCCUACGGGUUGUAAACUUCUUUUAUAAGGGAAUAAAGUUCAGCACGUGUGCUGUUUUGUGUGUACCUUAUGAAUAAGGAUCGGCUAACUCCGUGCCAGCAGCCGCGGUAAUACGGAGGAUCCGAGCGUUAUCCGGAUUUAUUGGGUUUAAAGGGAGCGUAGGUGGGUGGUUAAGUCAGUUGUGAAAGUUUGCGGCUGAACCGUAAAAUUGCAGUUGAUACUGGGAGCCUUGAGUGCAGGAGAGGUAGGCGGAAUGCGUGGUGUAGCGGUGAAAUGCUUAGAUAUCACGAAGAACUCCGAUUGCGAAGGCAGCCUACUGGACUGCAACUGACGCUGAUGCUCGAAAGUGUGGGUAUCAAACAGGAUUAGAUACCCGAGUAGUC